AGAAAAAAUAGAAAUAUUAGUCCAAAUAAUCUCUCUUAAGUGCUGGACAAUAUACUUAGCUAUCCAAUUCAUAGUAUUGUUCGUCUGAUGAUGAUAAACAUAUCAGAUAUCCAUAAAGAUGUGUCCUCUUACAAUCCUCCGGAUGUCAUGGAUGAAUGGAUACUAAGCAGAUCCAUGGCUCUGCAUCCAACCCACCACAGUGGCAAAUCCCUCUCAAAAAAAUUAUUCCCAUUAUCCAUUUCCUUGCAUAUUAAAACUAGUGCACUGGGUGACUCGCACACCAAGAUUCGCAGAGAACCUAUAAUGCUAGUAGAUGUAUGGUCACACGCAGGACCUGAGUUUGUAUAACACCAUGAAAGGGUGCCUUGUCUGGAAGUCUGUAACACUCUCUGUUGGAAAGCAUAUCUCCAUCCGGGGGUAGAGGUUUCCCGUUGGCUGUCGCUGUUAUCCCAAGUAUUCUAGACCAUGCUACAGAACCGGAUCGUUCCUUGGUAGAUCGCCAUGGACUCCCAAAAGACUGUUGAGAUGGUCCAUGGCGACGUUACAUUACUUGGGCUAUGCGUCUAAUCCUAUUCGUUCUCUCGUCUUCUCUCUCUCAUUGCAUCAACUUGACGCCAUCAAGUCUCCACAG
Molecule: long non-coding RNA, 631 nt
Filed under: Elaeis guineensis (African oil palm)
Lineage: Eukaryota; Viridiplantae; Streptophyta; Magnoliopsida; Arecales; Arecaceae
Description: long non-coding RNA (EGUI_LNC005219)
Source: RNAcentral